GAUGAACGCUGGCGGCGUGCCUAAUACAUGCAAGUCGAGCGAACAGACGAGGAGCUUGCUCCUCUGAUGUUAGCGGCGGACGGGUGAGUAACACGUAGAUAACCUACCUAUAAGACUGGGAUAACUUCGGGAAACCGGAGCUAAUACCGGAUAAUAUUUUGAACCGCAUGGUUCAACAGUGAAAGACGGUCUUGCUGUCACUUAUAGAUGGAUCCGCGCCGCAUUAGCUAGUUGGUAAGGUAACGGCUUACCAAGGCAACGAUGCGUAGCCGACCUGAGAGGGUGAUCGGCCACACUGGAACUGAGACACGGUCCAGACUCCUACGGGAGGCAGCAGUAGGGAAUCUUCCGCAAUGGGCGAAAGCCUGACGGAGCAACGCCGCGUGAGUGAUGAAGGUCUUCGGAUCGUAAAACUCUGUUAUUAGGGAAGAACAAAUGUGUAAGUAACUGUGCACGUCUUGACGGUACCUAAUCAGAAAGCCACGGCUAACUACGUG
RNAcentral lists this ribosomal RNA (497 nucleotides) under uncultured bacterium. RNAcentral's name for it is "partial 16S ribosomal RNA". It matches the Rfam family "Bacterial small subunit ribosomal RNA", at positions 28 to 507 of the family's 1533-position model. The record is from RNAcentral.